GAUGAACGCUGGCGGCGUGCCUAAUACAUGCAAGUCGAGCGAACAGAUGAGGAGCUUGCUCCUCUGACGUUAGCGGCGGACGGGUGAGUAACACGUGGAUAACCUACCUAUAAGACUGGGAUAACUUCGGGAAACCGGAGCUAAUACCGGAUAAUAUAUUGAACCGCAUGGUUCAAUAGUGAAAGACGGUUUUGCUGUCACUUAUAGAUGGAUCCGCGCCGCAUUAGCUAGUUGGUAAGGUAACGGCUUACCAAGGCGACGAUGCGUAGCCGACCUGAGAGGGUGAUCGGCCACACUGGAACUGAGACACGGUGCAGACUCCUACGGGAGGCAGCAGUAGGGAAUCUUCCGCAAUGGGCGAAAGCCUGACGGAGCAACGCCGCGUGAGUGAUGAAGGUCUUCGGAUCGUAAAACUCUGUUAUUAGGGAAGAACAAAUGUGUAAGUAACUAUGCACGUCUUGACGGUACCUAAUCAGAAAGCCACGGCUAACUACGUG
This 497-nucleotide ribosomal RNA is filed under the name uncultured bacterium. RNAcentral's name for it is "partial 16S ribosomal RNA". It matches the Rfam family "Bacterial small subunit ribosomal RNA", at positions 28 to 507 of the family's 1533-position model. The record is from RNAcentral.